GACGAACGCUGGCGGCGUGCUUAACACAUGCAAGUCGAACGGAAAGGCCCUGCUUUUGUGGGGUGCUCGAGUGGCGAACGGGUGAGUAACACGUGAGUAACCUGCCCUUGACUUUGGGAUAACUUCAGGAAACUGGGGCUAAUACCGGAUAGGAGCUCCUGCUGCAUGGUGGGGGUUGGAAAGUUUCGGCGGUUGGGGAUGGACUCGCGGCUUAUCAGCUUGUUGGUGGGGUAGUGGCUUACCAAGGCUGUGACGGGUAGCCGGCCUGAGAGGGUGACCGGCCACAAUGGGACUGAGAGACGGCCCAGACUCCUACGGGAGGCAGCAGUGGGGAAUAUUGCACAAUGGGCGGAAGCCUGAUGCAGCAACGCCGCGUGCGGGAUGACGGCCUUCGGGUUGUAAACCGCUUUCGCCUGUGACGAAGCGUGAGUGACGGUAAUGGGUAAAGAAGCACCGGCUAACUACGUG
Molecule: ribosomal RNA, 468 nt
Filed under: uncultured bacterium
Lineage: Bacteria
Description: partial 16S ribosomal RNA
Rfam family: Bacterial small subunit ribosomal RNA
Source: RNAcentral